GUGUACCAGUUGUUCUGCCAAGGGCAUCGCUGGGUAGCUAUGUGCGGACGGGAUAAGUGCUGAAAGCAUCUAAGCAUGAAGCCCCCCUCAAGAUGAGAUUUCCCAUUCCGCAAGGAAGUAAGAUCCCUGAAAGAUGAUCAGGUUGAUAGGUCUGAGGUGGAAGUGUGGCGACACAUGGAGCUGACAGAUACUAAUCGAUCGAGGACUUAACCUAAA
RNAcentral lists this ribosomal RNA (216 nucleotides) under Bacillus paralicheniformis. Its description in RNAcentral is "partial 23S ribosomal RNA". It matches the Rfam family "Bacterial large subunit ribosomal RNA", at positions 2712 to 2925 of the family's 2925-position model. Lineage: Bacteria; Bacillati; Bacillota; Bacilli; Caryophanales; Bacillaceae. The record is from RNAcentral.